AGGACGAACGCUGGCGGCGUGCUUAACACAUGCAAGUCGAGCGGAAAGGCCCUUCGGGGUACUCGAGCGGCGAACGGGUGAGUAACACGUGAGUAAUCUGCCCCUAGCUCUGGGAUAGCUCCGGGAAACCGGGAUUAAUACCGGAUACGACCACUUUAGACAUCUGUUGUGGUUGAAAGAAUUUCGGCUAGGGAUGAACUCGCGGCCUAUCAGCUUGUUGGUGAGGUAACGGCCACCAAGGCGACGACGGGUA
RNAcentral lists this ribosomal RNA (253 nucleotides) under uncultured bacterium. RNAcentral describes it as "partial small subunit ribosomal RNA". It matches the Rfam family "Bacterial small subunit ribosomal RNA", at positions 26 to 285 of the family's 1533-position model. The record is from RNAcentral.